Molecule: long non-coding RNA, 623 nt
Filed under: Triticum aestivum (bread wheat)
Lineage: Eukaryota; Viridiplantae; Streptophyta; Magnoliopsida; Poales; Poaceae
Description: long non-coding RNA (TAES_LNC002794)
Source: RNAcentral
GGGACGUCAUUCUCCUCUAGAUUUUUCACAGUAAGACCCCCUUUUUAAUUGUCAAGCCCAUGCCGACAUAUGCAAUAGCUCGUGUCAUAUUCUUUCUCUUGGUACUUGAUGAAAUUAAUCUCAUAUUUCUGGAAGGGGAAAAAACGAAAGGAAAACUAUGAGACAGGGUGAUCCACAGUUGCGGCAACAUUAUUUUUUAGCAGCAGUCAGUGUUAUUAAGCUUUUAACCCUGAAAGAAACAAGUUGUACUUGCAGGCAACCAAGAAAGGGGAGAGUCCACUGCCUGCCAGCUGCCUCUGUAACUGAAGAGCUGUGAGAGUGUAUGUUAACCAAAGAAAAUAGGCCUACUGAUCUAAACCUUGCCCUGCCAGGAACGAAACUGUGACAGAGCAUGUACUUGAUACAAAAUCGACAACUCAACAGUUACUGCUACCCAAACAUUUGCCUGUCUGUCUGACUGACCGCAGGAGUCUUCCCAGUUUUUGUUUUCUCGGGAUUUACCCUUGUUACAGAUACAGAUAGAUGAGGAAAAUUUGGUUGACAGGUAUGAAGAAACCUCUGAAAUUGGCCGAGGUUAUAUUUUUCCAUGGCAUGUGUCUGCGAUCCACAAAAUCAAUAGAAAG